Molecule: ribosomal RNA, 383 nt
Filed under: marine copepod environmental sample
Lineage: Eukaryota; Metazoa; Arthropoda; Copepoda
Description: SSU rRNA
Rfam family: Eukaryotic small subunit ribosomal RNA
Source: RNAcentral
AGCUCCAAUAGCGUAUAUUAAAGUUGUUGUGGUUAAAAAGCUCGUAGUUGGAUCUCAACAGCCUUGAAGCGGUUAACUUUGUAGUUUUACUGCUUUGUAGGCUGUGCUUUUGCUGGAGGUUUAGGGGUGCUCUUGAUCGAGUGUCUCUGGAUGCCAGCAGGUUUACUUUGAAAAAAUUAGAGUGCUCAAAGCAGGCUAAAAUGCCUGAAUAUUCGUGCAUGGAAUAAUAGAAUAGGAUGUCGAUCCUAUUUUGUUGGUUUUCGGUACUCGACAUAAUGAUAAAUAGGGACAGUCGGGGGCAUUUGUAUUCAAACGACAGAGGUGAAAUUCUCAGAUUUAUUGAAGACUAACUUAUGCGAAAGCAUUUGCCAAGGAUGUUUUCA